AACGAACGCUGGCGGCAUGCCUAACACAUGCAAGUCGAACGAGACCUUCGGGUCUAGUGGCGCACGGGUGCGUAACGCGUGGGAACCUGCCCUUAGGUUCGGAAUAACUCCCCGACAGGGGUGCUAAUACCGGAUAAUGUCUUCGGACCAAAGAUUUAUCGACUUUGGAUGGGCCCGCGUUGGAUUAGCUAGUUGGUAGGGUAAAAGCCUACCAAGGCGACGAUCCAUAGCUGGUCUGAGAGGAUGAUCAGCCACACUGGGACUGAGACACGGCCCAGACUCCUACGGGAGGCAGCAGUGGGGAAUAUUGGACAAUGGGCGAAAGCCUGAUCCAGCAAUGCCGCGUGAGUGAUGAAGGCCUUAGGGUUGUAAAGCUCUUUUACCCGGGAUGAUAAUGACAGUACCGGGAGAAUAAGCUCCGGCUAACUCCGUG
This 433-nucleotide ribosomal RNA is filed under the name uncultured bacterium. Its description in RNAcentral is "partial 16S ribosomal RNA". It matches the Rfam family "Bacterial small subunit ribosomal RNA", at positions 29 to 507 of the family's 1533-position model. The record is from RNAcentral.